AGUUAUCUGAGUGGGCUGGAUCUAAUCCCACGAGCUUAUUAAAAGCAGAGAGUUUCUCCAAUAGCAGAAGGGAAGUCAGAGAGAUUCUAAGCACAAGAAGAAUGGGAUGCACGUUCACUGGCUUUAAAGAUGCAGGAAGCAUUACAUGGAAAGGACUUGUGAACAGCCCCAAGGAGCUCAGAGAGACGCCCAGCCAACGGCCAGCAAGAAAACAGGAACCUCAGUCCUGCAACCACAAGGAAGUGGGUUCUGUCAACAACCUAAGUGAACCUGGAAGUCGAUUCCUCCCUAGAGCCUCUGGAUGAGAGCCCAGGCUGACCAACACCUUGAUUUUGGCUUCCUGACAUCCUAAGCAGAGAUCCAGUGAAGCCUGCCCCAGAUGGCUAACCUACAGAACCCUGGAUAUAGGUACCAACGAGACCCUGGGGAAGGGGAGAGCCCUGAGAUGGAAGGAGCCUGGGUCCCUGAAUCACCACGUGGAGGAAAGCCACUGACCAAUCAGGAACGCUCGUCUUGGUCUGUUAUGUGACUAAGAAAUAAAUUCCUAAGGUAUUUGAGCUAUUAUACAUUUGGGAGUCUAUCUGUGACUGCUUUUUAGCUUACCCUUCAUAAUACACAUCCCUCUUUGGCCCCCAGUG
This 638-nucleotide long non-coding RNA is filed under the name Homo sapiens (human). Its description in RNAcentral is "HSALNT0245128". Lineage: Eukaryota; Metazoa; Chordata; Mammalia; Primates; Hominidae. The record is from RNAcentral.